RNAcentral lists this ribosomal RNA (465 nucleotides) under Vreelandella stevensii. RNAcentral describes it as "partial 16S ribosomal RNA". It matches the Rfam family "Bacterial small subunit ribosomal RNA", at positions 338 to 795 of the family's 1533-position model. Lineage: Bacteria; Pseudomonadati; Pseudomonadota; Gammaproteobacteria; Oceanospirillales; Halomonadaceae. The record is from RNAcentral.
CCUACGGGUGGCUGCAGUGGGGAAUAUUGGACAAUGGGGGGAACCCUGAUCCAGCCAUGCCGCGUGUGUGAAGAAGGCCCUCGGGUUGUAAAGCACUUUCAGUGAGGAAGAACGCCUGGUGGUUAAUACCCAUCAGGAAAGACAUCACUCACAGAAGAAGCACCGGCUAACUCCGUGCCAGCAGCCGCGGUAAUACGGAGGGUGCGAGCGUUAAUCGGAAUUACUGGGCGUAAAGCGCGCGUAGGUGGCUUGAUAAGCCGGUUGUGAAAGCCCCGGGCUCAACCUGGGAACGGCAUCCGGAACUGUCAAGCUAGAGUGCAGGAGAGGAAGGUAGAAUUCCCGGUGUAGCGGUGAAAUGCGUAGAGAUCGGGAGGAAUACCAGUGGCGACGGCGGCCUUCUGGACUGACACUGACACUGAGGUGCGAAAGCGUGGGUAGCAAACAGGAUUAGAUACCCCUGUAGUC